CCUACGGGAGGCUGCAGUGGGGAAUAUUGGACAAUGGGGGGAACCCUGAUCCAGCCAUGCCGCGUGUGUGAAGAAGGCCCUCGGGUUGUAAAGCACUUUCAGUGAGGAAGAACGCCUGGUGGUUAAUACCCAUCAGGAAAGACAUCACUCACAGAAGAAGCACCGGCUAACUCCGUGCCAGCAGCCGCGGUAACACGGAGGGUGCGAGCGUUAAUCGGAAUUACUGGGCGUAAAGCGCGCGUAGGUGGCUUGAUAAGCCGGUUGUGAAAGCCCCGGGCUCAACCUGGGAACGGCAUCCGGAACUGUCAAGCUAGAGUGCAGGAGAGGAAGGUAGAAUUCCCGGUGUAGCGGUGAAAUGCGUAGAGAUCGGGAGGAAUACCAGUGGCGAAGGCGGCCUUCUGGACUGACACUGACACUGAGGUGCGAAAGCGUGGGUAGCAAACAGGAUUAGAUACCCUUGUAGUC
Molecule: ribosomal RNA, 465 nt
Filed under: Vreelandella stevensii
Lineage: Bacteria; Pseudomonadati; Pseudomonadota; Gammaproteobacteria; Oceanospirillales; Halomonadaceae
Description: partial 16S ribosomal RNA
Rfam family: Bacterial small subunit ribosomal RNA
Source: RNAcentral